UGAAAGGAUGUACUGCUAAAGCAACACGCGA
RNAcentral lists this non-coding RNA (31 nucleotides) under Mus musculus (house mouse). Lineage: Eukaryota; Metazoa; Chordata; Mammalia; Rodentia; Muridae. The record is from RNAcentral.